UUUCUUUCGGUUAUAGGAGACACAUUUACACCGGAAGAACUUUAACAAAGGGCGACCAAAUUAGACAGAGGGAUUGCAGCCGAAUCACUCAUAAAACUUGAUUAAUUAUUUAUCACUAAAAAUAAAAAGACCUACUGUCUUUUUAUCCUUAUUUUAAAUUUUACUCAGAAAUAGUCCCAACGUUAUCGCCAUUUUGUAAAUACCCACCUCAGACAACACCAUCAAUCACACUCCUGAUAACAUUCAAGUAGGAAUUGGCGACGAAAAGACCGUAAAAACAAGGUGUAUAUAAAUAAGCUCGAAACACAGUGUUAAUAUAAAAAAAGGGGUUCGAAGUUCAAUGGGUCACCAAUUUUAAACAAGGAGUUAAAGCGAAAUUUCAGCAAGUUUCAUUUUUUGUUAAUAAAUUUCGAAUUGUACAAUCGCGUUUGCUUUUUUAUCAGUAAAAUCAUAAUUAAACCAAAAACGAGUUUGACUCGGACGAAUUUUGUAUUCCGCCCGGAUUUUCGUACUUUUGCCCGGUAAACAGAGGUAGCCUUUAAUUUCCAAGCAAAACCAAAGUUAACUUGCUCCGUGACGGAUUUUUCAAUAACCGAACUUAUCCCUGCAGAGGUAGUUUUGUUCUACUUGAUUUUAGACUUAACUUUGAUUUGCUAAAAUCAACUUAGUUCUUUGAUGAAAAGUUUGCACUAUGACAGUUUUCAAGUUAGUUUGCUUUGCUAAUUUGUUUGUAUGGGCGUUUUAAAGGGAUUGUUUCUAUUUCCGUUGCGUGGAUGAUGUGUCAAAUAGACAGCAGGAAUUGUGCAGCGUUCAAUGUCGGAAAGAAAUAUGUUGGCUACUCCUGGCUGAAAGGUAGCGACUUAAGGGUGAGGAGGGACUACGCUUAUAAAUCCGGUUCAUACAUCGACCCAAUCUACUAUAACAGAUUAAUGGGACCUAGGCAGCAACUACAACGAUGGUAUAACAAAUACUGACGCUAUGGAAAAGGCCAGUUUUUAACAGAUAAAUCUUCCUGUUGAAAAAUACCAUGUAUCAAAUUAAAAUAAACACAAAGCACAUAAUGAAAAAGUGAAAAUAUCAGUUACGCCCUCUGAAUGCAAUAAAUGUAUCUAUGUAAAAAAAAUACUUAGAAUUGUGUAUAAUAAAUAUGUUUUCUUUUGUUGUUCAAUCAGCAAUCUACCACAAAACAUUGAAACGAUACCAAGGUAGGUCUACAAUAUCAAUUUCAACAUAGUCAUAACAGUAACCAAAAAUAAAAAGUAGAAUCAACUUUCAUAGAUUUGAUACAUCUAUAUUAUUAGUGAAACAAUUGAAUGAAAGAAUGAACUAACAAAAGAAAAGUUUUUGAUGAUGGAUGAAACUGAACGAGGACAAAUGUACCCAAAUUACAUUCACGCUAAAACAAACAGCCUUGCCCAUAACGCCAAAAAUUUAAAUAAACCAACUGGACAAGUUGGCUCUGGAAAAGAUGAAAUUAAACUGAUUUGCUUUAUUAUUAAUCUAAAGGUUUUAAAAAGAAUAGUAACAAGUUGUUAAUAUUGUGUCUAUGUUUCAAGUCAAUUAUUAAUUUAUCACACCCCAACACACCAAGAACACUGCUUAUCAAAGACUGGUGCCAAAAAGUGGAGGACAUGACUGAAUGAAGGAAAAUGUACUCAGUGUACUUUCACAAGAAGAAACAUCUUGCCCUCCACUCAAGUCAAAUACCUAGG
This is a long non-coding RNA of Cimex lectularius (bed bug), 1712 nucleotides long. RefSeq lists it as uncharacterized. The transcript has 7 exons. NCBI's taxonomy places the organism in Eukaryota, Metazoa, Arthropoda, Insecta, Hemiptera, Cimicidae. The record is from RefSeq and is a predicted model, not a curated record.